GGGGGUGGAUGGCGUCGACCGUCUGCGAAAACCGCAUGCGGACCAGGCGGGACAGGAGUUCGAAUCUCCUCACCUCCACCA
RNAcentral lists this transfer-messenger RNA (81 nucleotides) under Phytoactinopolyspora halophila. It matches the Rfam family "transfer-messenger RNA". From Rfam's summary of the family: Bacterial tmRNA, also known as 10Sa RNA or SsrA, is named for its dual tRNA and mRNA-like properties. Its role is to liberate the mRNA from a stalled ribosome. To accomplish this part of the tmRNA is used as a reading frame that ends in a translation stop signal. Lineage: Bacteria; Bacillati; Actinomycetota; Actinomycetes; Jiangellales; Jiangellaceae. RNAcentral also lists the same sequence under 1 other name. The record is from Rfam by way of RNAcentral.